RNAcentral lists this ribosomal RNA (1372 nucleotides) under uncultured bacterium. Its description in RNAcentral is "bacterial SSU rRNA". It matches the Rfam family "Bacterial small subunit ribosomal RNA", at positions 28 to 1381 of the family's 1533-position model. The record is from RNAcentral.
GAUGAACGCUGGCGGCGUGCCUAAUACAUGCAAGUCGAGCGAACGGACGAGAAGCUUGCUUCUCUGAUGUUAGCGGCGGACGGGUGAGUAACACGUGGAUAACCUACCUAUAAGACUGGGAUAACUUCGGGAAACCGGAGCUAAUACCGGAUAAUAUUUUGAACCGCAUGGUUCAAAAGUGAAAGACGGUCUUGCUGUCACUUAUAGAUGGAUCCGCGCUGCAUUAGCUAGUUGGUAAGGUAACGGCUUACCAAGGCAACGAUGCAUAGCCGACCUGAGAGGGUGAUCGGCCACACUGGAACUGAGACACGGUCCAGACUCCUACGGGAGGCAGCAGUAGGGAAUCUUCCGCAAUGGGCGAAAGCCUGACGGAGCAACGCCGCGUGAGUGAUGAAGGUCUUCGGAUCGUAAAACUCUGUUAUUAGGGAAGAACAUAUGUGUAAGUAACUGUGCACAUCUUGACGGUACCUAAUCAGAAAGCCACGGCUAACUACGUGCCAGCAGCCGCGGUAAUACGUAGGUGGCAAGCGUUAUCCGGAAUUAUUGGGCGUAAAGCGCGCGUAGGCGGUUUUUUAAGUCUGAUGUGAAAGCCCACGGCUCAACCGUGGAGGGUCAUUGGAAACUGGAAAACUUGAGUGCAGAAGAGGAAAGUGGAAUUCCAUGUGUAGCGGUGAAAUGCGCAGAGAUAUGGAGGAACACCAGUGGCGAAGGCGACUUUCUGGUCUGUAACUGACGCUGAUGUGCGAAAGCGUGGGGAUCAAACAGGAUUAGAUACCCUGGUAGUCCACGCCGUAAACGAUGAGUGCUAAGUGUUAGGGGGUUUCCGCCCCUUAGUGCUGCAGCUAACGCAUUAAGCACUCCGCCUGGGGAGUACGACCGCAAGGUUGAAACUCAAAGGAAUUGACGGGGACCCGCACAAGCGGUGGAGCAUGUGGUUUAAUUCGAAGCAACGCGAAGAACCUUACCAAAUCUUGACAUCCUUUGACAACUCUAGAGAUAGAGCUUUCCCCUUCGGGGGACAAAGUGACAGGUGGUGCAUGGUUGUCGUCAGCUCGUGUCGUGAGAUGUUGGGUUAAGUCCCGCAACGAGCGCAACCCUUAAGCUUAGUUGCCAUCAUUAAGUUGGGCACUCUAAGUUGACUGCCGGUGACAAACCGGAGGAAGGUGGGGAUGACGUCAAAUCAUCAUGCCCCUUAUGAUUUGGGCUACACACGUGCUACAAUGGACAAUACAAAGGGUAGCGAAACCGCGAGGUCAAGCAAAUCCCAUAAAGUUGUUCUCAGUUCGGAUUGUAGUCUGCAACUCGACUAUAUGAAGCUGGAAUCGCUAGUAAUCGUAGAUCAGCAUGCUACGGUGAAUACGUUCCCGGGUCU